RNAcentral lists this ribosomal RNA (253 nucleotides) under uncultured bacterium. RNAcentral's name for it is "partial 16S ribosomal RNA". It matches the Rfam family "Bacterial small subunit ribosomal RNA", at positions 524 to 776 of the family's 1533-position model. The record is from RNAcentral.
UACGUAGGGUGCAGGCGUUAAUCGGAAUUACUGGGCGUAAAGCGUGCGCAGGCGGCUCCUUAAGUCAGAUGUGAAAGCCCCGGGCUUAACCUGGGAACUGCGUUUGAAACUGGGGGGCUAGAGUGUGGAAGAGGGGGGUGGAAUUCCAGGCGUAGCAGUGAAAUGCGUAGAGAUCUGGAGGAACACCGAUGGCGAAGGCAGCCCCCUGGGCUAACACUGACGCUCAUGCACGAAAGCGUGGGGAGCAAACAGG